RNAcentral lists this ribosomal RNA (227 nucleotides) under uncultured bacterium. Its description in RNAcentral is "partial 16S ribosomal RNA". It matches the Rfam family "Bacterial small subunit ribosomal RNA", at positions 524 to 750 of the family's 1533-position model. The record is from RNAcentral.
UACGUAGGGUGCAAGCGUUAAUCGGAAUUACUGGGCGUAAAGCGUGCGCAGGCGGUUUUGUAAGUUUGUCGUGAAAGCCCCGGGCUCAACCUGGGAAUUGCGAUGAAGACUGCAAGGCUUGAAUCUGGCAGAGGGGGGUAGAAUUCCGACGUGUAGCAGUGAAAUGCGUGAGAGAUGUGGAGGAACACCGAUGGCGAAGGCAGCCCUCGGUGAAGAUUGACGCUCAU